UUCGGUCAUGACUCCAGAUUGAACUGGCAUGGCGGGAUGCUUUACACAUGCAAGUCGAACGGCAGCACGGACUGGUCUGGUGGCGAGUGGCGAACAGGUGAGUAAUGUAUCGGAACGUGCCUAGUAGCGGGGGAUAACUACAUGGCCGUAAUACCGCAUACGCCCUUCGAGGAAAGCAGGGGACCUUCGGGCCUCGCACUAUUAGAGCGGCCGAUAUCGGAUUGGCUAGUUGGUGGGGUAACGGCUCGCAAGGCGACGAUCCGUAGCUGGUUUGAGAGGACGACCAGCCACACUGGGACUGAGACACGGCCCAGACUCCGCAGGAGGCAGCAGUGGAAUUUGGACAAUGGGGAAACCUGAUCCAGCCAUCCGCGUGUGCCCGAUGAAGGCCUUCGGGUUGUAAAGCACUUUGGCGGAAAAAGCGGCACGGGAUAUACCCGAUGCAACUGAUGCACCUGCAGAAUAAGCACCUGACUAACUACGUGCCAGCAGCCGCGGUAAUACGUAGGGUGCAAGCGUUAAUCGGAAUUACUGGGCGUAAAGCGUGCGCGGUUCGGAAGAAAGAUGUGAAAUCCCGGAAGCAACUUUGGAACUGCAUUUUUAACUACCGAGCUAGAGUGUGUCAGAGGAGUGGAAUUCCCGCGUGUAGCAAUGAAAUGCGUAGAUAUGCGGAGGAACACCGAUGGCGAGCAGCCUCUGGGAUAACGACGCUCAUGCACGAAAGCGUGGGGAGCAAACAGGAUUAGAUACCUGGUAGUCACGCCUAACGAUGUAAACUAGCUGUUGAGGCCUUCAGACGGUAGCGCAAUAACGCGUGAAGUUGACCGCCUGGGAAAUGCAGUCGCAAGAUUAAAACUCAAAGGAAUUGGCAGGGGACCCGCUGAAAGCGGUGGAUGUUGUGGAUUAAUUCGAUGCAACGCGAAAAACCCUACCCUUGACAUGUCUGGAAUCCCGAAAGAGAUUUGGGAGUAUCGCGAAGGCUGAUUCUGAUGCUACAUGGCUGUCGUCAAGCUCGUGAGAUGUUGGGUUAAGUCCCGCAACAGGCGCAACCCUUGUCAUUAGUUACUACAGGCGCUCUAAUGAGACUGCAGUAACAAACCGGAGGAAGGUGGGGAUGACGUCAAGUCCUCACAUGGGCCCAUAUGGUGAGGCUUCACGUCAUACAAUGGCAUGGUCGGGACUGGGUCGCCAACCGAGGGCCAAUCGACGAUCGUAGUCCGGAUCGCAGUCUGCAACUCGACUGCGUGAAGUCAGAAUCGCUAGUAAAUGCGGAUCGGCAUGUCGCGGUGAAUACGUUCCCGGGUCUUUAUACACACCGCCCGUCACACCAGAAUUAGGUUUACCAAGUAGUUAGCUAACCGUAAGGAGGGCGAUUACCACGGUAGGAUUCAUGACUGGGGUGAAGUCGUAACAAGGUAACCCUGUUACCUAUUCUCCCAAAG
Molecule: ribosomal RNA, 1442 nt
Filed under: uncultured Bordetella sp.
Lineage: Bacteria; Pseudomonadati; Pseudomonadota; Betaproteobacteria; Burkholderiales; Alcaligenaceae
Description: partial 16S-23S ribosomal RNA intergenic spacer
Rfam family: Bacterial small subunit ribosomal RNA
Source: RNAcentral